AUCCUGGAUGUAAUAAACAUAGAAGUUUCUAGCAAAGGCGGAGCUUUGGUUGGCUGGGUCUAUAAACGGCAGCUUCACAUCACUUCUUUCCUUUCUGCUGGCAGAGUGUGCUCUGACCAGGCUGUCCUGCUGACGGCAUGUCUCAGGGGGUCCAAUUACAAUGGAGCUCCGACCUUUUACGCUUGCUUAACUUGUUAUUCAGGAGGAGAAAGAAGAGACUGUUCCCAAGGGCAGGCCAGCAGUGUCCCGAGUCUCUCCGGAGUCCAGUGAUGCUGUUGUGCAGAUCCAGUGCUUGGUAGAAAAGAACCAUCUGAAGAAUGAAAAGCACUGACCUCGAAGCAACGUAUCAACUACGAGACAAAACUGAAGCAACCACAAAACGCAACAAAUGAAUGAAACCCCCCCUUACCCUUUGGUCUAUCUGUAUCCUAACCUCCGGGUUAGUUUAUGGAGGGCCGGCUUCUGGUUGUCUGCGUUGCUUGGUUCGGCAUGGUUCGAGGGGUCAUGUCGAUAAAACGUAUUUGUUCUCCCUUUUUGUAUUUAAGGCAUGCUGCAUUGUUUCCUACUGUUUAUUAAAAAAAAAAUCAAAUAAAAAUAGAAAAACUUGAAACUGAA
This is a long non-coding RNA of Acipenser ruthenus (sterlet), 615 nucleotides long. RefSeq lists it as uncharacterized. The record is from RefSeq and is a predicted model, not a curated record. The transcript has 3 exons. NCBI's taxonomy places the organism in Eukaryota, Metazoa, Chordata, Actinopteri, Acipenseriformes, Acipenseridae.